This 253-nucleotide ribosomal RNA is filed under the name uncultured bacterium. Its description in RNAcentral is "partial 16S ribosomal RNA". It matches the Rfam family "Bacterial small subunit ribosomal RNA", at positions 524 to 776 of the family's 1533-position model. The record is from RNAcentral.
UACGUAGGGUGCAAGCGUUAUCCGGAAUCACUGGGUUUAAAGGGUGCGUAGGUGGGAUAUUAAGUGAGUGGUGAAAGCUUCCGGCUUAACCGGGAAAUUGCCAUUCAUACUGGUAUCCUUGAGUACAGUUGAGGCGGGCGGAAUGUGUCAUGUAGCGGUGAAAUGCUUAGAUAUGACACAGAACACCGAUUGCGAAGGCAGCUCGCUAACCUGUAACUGACACUGAGGCACGAAAGCGUGGGGAUCAAACAGG